RNAcentral lists this ribosomal RNA (1291 nucleotides) under Clostridioides difficile. Its description in RNAcentral is "bacterial LSU rRNA". It matches the Rfam family "Bacterial large subunit ribosomal RNA", at positions 147 to 1451 of the family's 2925-position model. Lineage: Bacteria; Bacillati; Bacillota; Clostridia; Peptostreptococcales; Peptostreptococcaceae. The record is from RNAcentral.
AGUAUCAUUAAGUGAAUACAUAGCUUAAUGAGGGGAACUCAGGGAACUGAAACAUCUAAGUACCUGAAGGAAGAGAAAGAAAUUCGAUUCCGUAAGUAGCGGCGAGCGAACGCGGAUUAGCCCACACCAAUAAAGUUUUCUUUAUUGGGGUUGCGGACAUAUCAUAACGAAGAGGUAUCGUAAUUGAAGAGGUUUGGAAAGACCCACCACAGAAGGUAAUAGUCCUGUAUGUUAAACGAGAAGACUUUAGAUAUGAUCCAGAGUACCACGGGACACGUGAAACCCUGUGGGAAGCAGGAGGGACCACCCUCCAAGGCUAAAUACUACCUAGUGACCGAUAGCGUAUAGUACCGUGAGGGAAAGGUGAAAAGAACCCCGGGAGGGGAGUGAAAUAGAACCUGAAACCCUGCACUUACAAGCUGUGGAAGCACAUUUCUUGUGUGACCGCGUACUUUUUGUAGAACGGGCCAACGAGUUACGUUAAGUAGCAAGGUUAAGCACUUAAGGUGCGGAGCCGUAGCGAAAGCGAGUUUUAACUGAGCGUUCAGUUACUUGACGUAGACCCGAAACCGGGCGACCUACCCAGGAGCAGGAUGAAGCGAAAGUAAAAUUUCGUGGAGGUCCGAACCCACGAGCGUUGAAAAGCUCGGGGAUGACUUGUGGGUAGCGGUGAAAUUCCAAUCGAGCCCGGAGAUAGCUGGUUCUCCCCGAAAUAGCUUUAGGGCUAGCCUCAAGGUGAGAGAUACGGAGGUAGAGCACUGAAUGUCCUAGGGGGUAUUGCACCUACCGAAGACUAUCAAACUCCGAAUGCCGUCAUCUUAUACUUGGGAGUCAGACUGUGGGUGAUAAGAUUCAUAGUCGAAAGGGCAACAGCCCAGAUCGUCAGCUAAGGUCCCUAAAUGUAAGUUAAGUGGUAAAGGAUGUGGGAUUGCACAGACAACCAGGAUGUUGGCUUAGAAGCAGCCACUCAUUCAAAGAGUGCGUAAUAGCUCACUGGUCGAGUGAUCCUGCGCCGAAGAUUUCCGGGGCUAAAACUUACUACCGAAGCUACGGCAUCAGUAAUGAUGGGUAGGGGAGCUUCCCAUACGGGUUGAAGCAUGACCGUAAGGACAUGUGGACAGUAUGGGAGUGAGAAUGUUGGCAUGAGUAGCGAGAUGUGGGUGAGAAUCCCACAGGCCGUAAACCCAAGGUUUCCAGGGGAAGGUUCGUCCGCCCUGGGUUAGUCGGGACCUAAGCUGAGGCCGAAAGGCGUAGGUGAUGGACAACAGGUUGAUAUUCCUGUACUACCGAU